AGAAUAAGAGGUAGGUUCUUUGAAAGAUAUCUGAAAUUGAAAUUAAUUCAAAGAUUAUUUUAUGAUAUAUUCAGAUCCAAAUUAACUGAGAGAUAUGAAAUAUUUAAUGUGUUUCUUCCACUUCUUUCACUAUGAAAGGAGAUAAGACUCCUUUCGUAGAUCCAUAAAAUGCUAAAUAAAUGUCCUGCCUAUAACCGAUUGCUCAGCAAAAAUUACUAUAAUAAUGCCACCUAAUCAAAUCCUGCAGAGUAUCUUCUUAAAACUUUCUAUCAGGUUUCCAAUUUUCAACAUUUUUCUACCAUCAGUGCUGUGCAUCUGUGCUUUUUCAUCUGAAUUAUUUAAGUACAAUAAAAAUCAAAAGCUCAUCACUCAAUAUCAUAGAAGAAUGAAAUAAAGAAAUUCUAACUUUACAGCACAGGGAGCUGUAUUUCAAGGAAGAUAACUAUGAAGAUGAUCUAUUAUGUAUGGCAUCUAUUAUCCGUUCCUCACUUUUCUGGUAAUUGUGCCUCAACUCCCCUCUGGGCCACCACUCCUCCCCCACUUAAGCUCCCAUGCUCUGGAAAAGGCUUGGCUGCUGAGUCUAGAGUUAGGUGUGUGCCCAAGGUCACAUUCAAUCAGAGCAUUUCCCUAAGUGAGUGACUGGAGCAGAGAACAGCAAGUAACCUAAUCAGAGCUGGUUAACAAUGAGGUGGCUAUUUGUGAAACCUGAACUGGUGUUAUAUAGCUAUAACUGGCUACUGGUUUAUAUAGCUAUUUCUUUUCCUUUAGUCUCUUGCUCAGGCUCCCUGCGAUUAUCUUCUGCAUGUACUAUGUGCACAUUCUUGCCUCAGUCUCUACUUUGGGGAGUAUGGGGGAACCAAAUUAAUACAUCCACUAUAGUUCAUCUUCCUCAGAGCAGCCAAAUUUAGCCUGUGAAAGCUAAUUCAAAUUAGUUCAUCCCUGGCUAAAAACAUUCCAGUGGCUUUAUUUUACCACAAAAUAAAAAGCAAAACUCCUUUUGGUGAUAGUCUGCAAGGAUCCACAAAAUGUGAUCCUACCACUCUGACCUUAUCAUCUCCCAAACUUCCUGAAUUACAGUUCUAGCCCAACCAGCCUUCUUUUUGACCCUAGAAUAUGUCAAGCCCAUAUUUGUCUCAGCACACUUUGGUCUGUUUAUUCUGCUUUGAACAAUCUUUCUCAGGAAGUUUUCAUGUCUUGUUUUCUCACUGAGUCCUUACUUUAAAAAACACCUUCCAAAAGUUAUUACUUACCCUAUCUAAAGCACUCACCCUAUCAUCAAUUCCCUAUCACACUUCUAUACUUGAUGUUUGUAAAUAUCUAAUUUGUUUUACUGAGCUUCUCUCUUUCCCUCUAGUUGCAAUUUGAGAAUAAAGUGAAGAACAGUUGGAGCAUCUUAUGGAUAUUAUAUAAUGAGAAACACUGGAGGAGAAUGGCACCAGAAGGAGGAGAGUAGAGAAAUGACACAGAGGAUGUGAUGCUGGUGAUACUGGAUGACUCAUGGCUUAAAUAGCAUCUGAAGCCACCCUAGUUCUGUUCUUCUUGGUUACAUUAUAUAUUACAUCUCUUAGGUUUGAACUGGUUUUCUGUCAUUUGAGUAUUACAGAUAGUAUAAACUCUAAGGAAAAAUCAGUGAGGAUAUCAUUUCAAGACCAAGGAAAGCACAGGAUACUCCUUAGAGAAAUUGUUUUAAGUGUCUUAAAAGAAAUCUUCUUAGAGCAAAGAAUAGCAAAGCUAACAAGACUUGAAAAUAUUUGUGAAACAAAAAUUUUAUUCAGUAUUUUGACGUAAAUUACAAAGUGUGAUGUGCAGUGCCCUUCCCUGGAGGCACUUUAAAAGAGUGUCUCAUCUGUUUGAGUUGACUGAAUUGGCAUCAACCUGAUGGCAGAGAGGAUCUAAACAACCCCAGCCUUCUUCUGACUCUGUGAUACAAACAAAACUUGGAAAAUGGCUGUUCUAGCAGUUAAAGUUGCCAAUAAAAAAGUAGGCACUUUCAGGGUGAUACAAUGUAAUUAGACUAAGCAAGAACACAUGUGUGAGGCAUGACAUUAAAAAAAAAGAUAAGACAGAAGUGUUAUUAAUUAUGGAGGGCAAACAAAUACCCAGGAUAGUGACUAGUCCAAGAUUCCAGCAGGAAUUGUCAUGAGGGCCUCAGUAUCACAUAGACACACGUUUAGAAAGUCCUACUCUGUCAUAAAUGAUCUCAACAUUUUUUAACAUCUGAUAUCUGGAGCUAAAUGUCAUUUCAAUAGCAUACCUAAUAAUUAUGACAACAGCAGUAACAACAAUGUCUUGGAGCAGUACCCAUAUGUCAGGUACUGUUCUGAAUAUAGAACAUGUGGUAUCUGUUUUAAUCCACGAACAAUCCAAGAAAGGAGGUACUAUUAAUUUAUCCACUUAAUAAAUGAAGUCACUUAAACAUAGAGGGCAUAUAUUCUUUUGAUGGAUGGAAUGUCAGAGUCCCAAGAAAGGAAAACUGAGAUAAGAUGCAUAAACUACAAAGUAUAAAGUUAAUGGAGGAAUUUAAGAGCCGGCUUAAAUUUGGUCUUUAACAAAUGUAGAUUUGAUCAUUUUUUUGUACCUUAGUUAUCGACAGUAUGUUCUUGUACAUUUUAAUACCAUGAGCAAACCAGAUAAAAUCUGAAGCUCUCUAAUUUUUCAUAGAACUGGAAUGUGGCAUUUUAUAUUCAGCAUAAGGCAAAGCCUCUCAAUGUCAGGGAAGAGGCUAAUGAGGCCGGGGUACUUGAGGAGAUCAAAUGGCAAGGAAUACAAUAAGGCCACAAUGCAUAUGACAGAGGAAAUGGCAAUAUGCCAGUUUGGAAAUAAAAAUAGGGGAGUCCAAAGAACUUACUGCCUGUAAAGGUUUUUUUCUUUUUUUCCCCCUGUGAAAGAAGUCAAUUUGAGAAGCUUCAGGGAAAAUCAAAGUUCUGUGUUGAGAUGAGGUUUUAGAUGAAUGAGGAGCUUAAAGUACUUUCAACUCGACAUGGCUUGGCUUCAAGGUCUGGCGGUUCAUUAUGAAGUAUAGAUGGUAUAACUAAAAGCACGACUCUUACUGUGAACAAGAGGGACCUAAAAUGGUAAGGAAAAAGGUUUGAUUGCAAACAUGAGUGCCAUACUCACUAGCUUUCUCUGUUUUAAAGGGAAAACGCUUCUCCUCUUUUUAUAUUCUCUC
This 3169-nucleotide long non-coding RNA is filed under the name Sus scrofa (pig). RNAcentral's name for it is "lncRNA (ENSSSCG00065049454.1)". The record is from RNAcentral. Lineage: Eukaryota; Metazoa; Chordata; Mammalia; Artiodactyla; Suidae.